RNAcentral lists this unclassified non-coding RNA (263 nucleotides) under plant metagenome. Its description in RNAcentral is "partial contains small subunit ribosomal RNA, internal transcribed spacer 1, and 5.8S ribosomal RNA". The record is from RNAcentral.
UUUCCGUAGGUGAACCUGCGGAAGGAUCAUUAUUGUAUAACCGAGGUGCGAGGGCUGUCGGUGACCCGAAAGGUCCUGCACGCCCGUGUGCCCUCACACACAUCCCUCUCACCCCUAUGUGCACCUCCGCGUGGGUCCCCCCUUGGCUUGUUCGGAGGGGGGCUUACGUUUUCACACAAACGUUGUAUCCAGUGUAGAAUGUAUUAUUUGUUUUUGCGAUCACGCAAUCAAAACAACUUUCAACAACGGAUCUCUUGGCUCUC